UUCGCAAUGCCCGAAAGGGUGACGAUGCGACGCCGCGUGAGCGAAGAAGGCCCUAGGGUUGUAAAGCUCUGUCGAGGGUUAUGAAAUAUAGAUGGGUUAAUACCCCAUUUAUUUGACAAAAGCCCAAAAGGAAGCCACGGCUAACUCUGUGCCAGCAGCCGCGGUAAUACAGAGGUGGCGAGCGUUGUUCGGUAUUAUUGGGCGUAAAGAGCACGUAGGUGGUUUUGUAAGUCAGGUGUGAAAGCCUUCUGUUCAAAGGAAGAACGGCAUCUGAAACUGCAGAUCUUGAGUGUAGGAGGGGAGAGUGGAACUUCUGGUGGAGCGGUGAAGUGCGUAGAUAUCAGAAGGAACGUCGGCGGCGAAAGCGACUCUCUGGCCUAUUACUGACACUGAGUGUGCGAAAGUUAGGGGAGCAAACGGGAUUAGAUACCCCGGUAGUCCUAACCGUAAACGAUGGGCACUAAGUAGAGGGGUUUU
Molecule: ribosomal RNA, 477 nt
Filed under: uncultured anaerobic ammonium-oxidizing bacterium
Lineage: Bacteria
Description: bacterial SSU rRNA
Rfam family: Bacterial small subunit ribosomal RNA
Source: RNAcentral